Molecule: transfer RNA, 70 nt
Filed under: Ovis aries (sheep)
Lineage: Eukaryota; Metazoa; Chordata; Mammalia; Artiodactyla; Bovidae
Rfam family: tRNA
About the family: Transfer RNA (tRNA) molecules are approximately 80 nucleotides in length. Their secondary structure includes four short double-helical elements and three loops (D, anti-codon, and T loops).
Source: Rfam by way of RNAcentral
UCCCGGUGGCUCAGUGGUAAAGAACCCACCUCAAAUGCGGGAGACCCAGGUUCAAUCCCUGGGCCAGGAA